Nilaparvata lugens (brown planthopper) is the source of this 800-nucleotide long non-coding RNA. RefSeq lists it as uncharacterized. NCBI's taxonomy places the organism in Eukaryota, Metazoa, Arthropoda, Insecta, Hemiptera, Delphacidae. The record is from RefSeq and is a predicted model, not a curated record. The transcript has 2 exons.
GUGUGCUUUGUGUUCUCCAUCUUGUUCUGUUUCCAUGCAAGUCGGAUCACGCGUACGCAUCCACGCAGUUUGUUUUUCAUUUUAUAUGGUUUCUUUAUUCAUUUCAUUUCAUUUUCCUUCAAUAAUCCUCUUCGUCUUUCGUUUUAAACGGAUCCCUUCAAUCCUCGAGCUCGAGUCCCAGCUGCAGCUACAGAUCCAGCAGAGACUGCUCAACGAUUGCUUUCGAUGUUCUGAAGUGGGCGAGUUUCCAAACAAAAAUGACGAAAAUAAAGAAGAGGAAGGAUAAUCAUCACUAGAGAAGCCUUUGCUUGUAUUAACAUUACUUGUUAAUACCAACUACUAUAAUGUUACUAAUAUUAUUAUUGAUAUACAGUAUUUUUGUUUUAAUUCCUCAUCAUCUGCUUAAAUUUAUUUAUGUUCCCUCCUUCUUCGGCCUGUUACGGAAUUCUGUUGUGUACUCUUGGACCUAAAUAUUCCACCAAUCUCUGUCCAAACGCUGUAUUCAUUCUAGGUAGGCUAUAUUAUGAAAAUUUAGGUCUCUUAUCCCAGUCAUGAUUAUGAGCUAUUAAGAUAUUGAAAUUUGUAUUUUUCCUUGUAUAAAUGAGUAAGACUAGAGCAUACAAUUGUCUGUCACUGAGGACUUUGUUUUCUAUCAACAAUUCACUAGUUGGGAAACGAUUGUCCUUGUUCAAUAUUCGUUUCAGUGCUUUGAAAACUGUAUCUACAAAACUGUAUUUUGCUGCAGCACUGUAAUUUGAGCGACCUGCUAGUUAAUAAAUAAAAUCAUCUUGAAAUGUGAA